UACGUAUGGAGCAAGCGUUAUCCGGAUUUACUGGGCGUAAAGGGAGCGUAGGCGGCCUGCCAAGUCUGAUGUGAAAUACCGGGGCUCAACCCCGGGACUGCAUUUGGAACUGUGCUGCUAGAGUGUCGGAGAGGCAGGCGGAAUUCCUAGUGUAGCGGUGAAAUGCGUAGAUAUUAGGAGGAACACCAGUGGCGAAGGCGGCCUGCUGGACGAUGACUGACGUUGAGGCACGAAAGCGUGGGGAGCAAACAGG
RNAcentral lists this ribosomal RNA (253 nucleotides) under uncultured Lachnospiraceae bacterium. RNAcentral's name for it is "partial 16S ribosomal RNA". It matches the Rfam family "Bacterial small subunit ribosomal RNA", at positions 524 to 776 of the family's 1533-position model. Lineage: Bacteria; Bacillati; Bacillota; Clostridia; Lachnospirales; Lachnospiraceae. The record is from RNAcentral.